Molecule: ribosomal RNA, 253 nt
Filed under: uncultured bacterium
Lineage: Bacteria
Description: partial 16S ribosomal RNA
Rfam family: Bacterial small subunit ribosomal RNA
Source: RNAcentral
UACAGAGGGUGCGAGCGUUAAUCGGAAUUACUGGGCGUAAAGCGUGCGUAGACGGCUAUCUAAGUCGGGUGUGAAAGCCCCGGGCUCAACCUGGGAAUUGCAUUCGAGACUGAAUAGCUAGGGUACGGUAGAGGGAAGCGGAAUUUCCGGUGUAGCGGUGAAAUGCGUAGAUAUCUGGAGGAACACCGGUGGCGAAGGCGGCAUUCUGGACCGAAACUGACGCUGAGGCGCGAAAGCCAGGGGAGCAAACGGG